This 10751-nucleotide long non-coding RNA is filed under the name Medicago truncatula (barrel medic). RNAcentral's name for it is "long non-coding RNA (MTRU_LNC000113)". Lineage: Eukaryota; Viridiplantae; Streptophyta; Magnoliopsida; Fabales; Fabaceae. The record is from RNAcentral.
CCGCUCAAUGACUAUUGCAGUAAAAUGACGAUUAAUGUUACUAUAAUUAAUAAAAAUUCUCUCUAACCCAAUUUUAUUUAAAAUAAUAGUAAUAAUAAUGAAAAUGAAAGUGAAAAUAAAUUGAAUGUUGCACUAAAGGGCACGUUACAUGUUAUGUGUUACAAUUUAAAAUUUAAAUACAUCUCAAAGACUUACUAUGCCCAUGUGAAAGCAUUGUCAAGUGCUGCCAAAGCUCCCCCAACAAAAGGCUUAGGUGGAUUUGGAUCUUGAGCUAUCCACCAUCCAACAGGUAUUCUCACUGCAUCUAAUCCAUUUUGUGACAUAAAUCUGAAAUCAUCUUCAGUUAUGUAUAAAUUCCAAUGCUCCUGCAAAGCAAACAAAGUUCAACAAAAUUGAUAACUUCCAAUCUAGCAAGUUUACUAUUUCUCAUGAAAAUGCUCUUAGAUUUCUUACUCGCAUAACUUGAGGAGCUCUAUUUCCAUAACCAUUAGUAAGUUGGUACUCUCCUUGUAAUGUGUUUACAUUUGUCAUAUGAAAAACUGAUGGAUCAUUGUCAUCCCAAUUUGUGCCUUGAUAAUCUGCAAUCACUGAUGUCUUCGAUUGAACCUUCACACAUAUAUGAUCAAGGAUUAAUAACUAAAGUGUUGGAAAUGAAGAACAAUAUGUAUAUGUAAUUAUUAAUAACUUUGUUAGAACACUAGCAAUAAUAGUGGAAGUUGGAUAGAAUAAACACCUUAGCAAGAGCUAGUGUUGGUAUGACUUAAAAAUGUUCCACAUUGGAGUGUCAUACUACCUAGUAAUUGUUUAUAUAAGUUGGGAGUGGCUACAAGGAUGUACUCUUGGGGUACACAAUUUUGUGAAUCGGUGAGCGUUUAGAAAUUAUACAUAUUUCACACACGCGAUGUUGUCGUCCGUCCAGGCUGGACUUGGGUCCAAAAGAGAUUGUUUUUUUGUCAAUUGAAAUUGUUAAAUUAAUUUUUAUUACUUUAAUCAUUAUUCAAAAGUGUUUCAUUUGUAACAAAUAAAUUUGUUACGAUCCGAUCCAACAGAGUAUCUAGAAGGUUCCGGAUAUAUCCACACACGAAAACAAACGCGGUUUGUUUUAGAGUUAAUUCAUUUAAAUACUCUGUUUUUUGUUACGAACUCUUCAUAUAAAAUGAGAGUUCGUCUCACUUAUUCUUUACACCGAAAUUCACAGUUGAGGCUUCAUGUGCUUUUCCUCUCUUCUCCCUUUUUCAACUUGUGUUGACGAGUCAUUCUUCUGCUCCUUUCUGUCCCGUCGGUUUCGAGUGUUCUACGUACGGCCAUAUUGAGUGGUUUAAUCGAACGAUUGAUUAAACCAUAUUUUGAGGGUGUUAUUUCUCGAACGAUUACUUACGGUGCAGUACGUAAUCAAACAGGUGAACUUGGUUGUUUUAUCCUGGAGGCGGCGCGGUUGUUAAUUUGCCUUGCACAAACUCAGGUAGUGUCGCGAAACGUCUGGUAGAUUCGAUUUUAUUAAAGGUAAUUUUUUAAAAUUCGAAAAAACAACAAACUUAAACAGCAAUAUUUCACUAUAAAAAAAAGGUUAGAAACAUUCUCUUUCUAAUACUCGUAGAAAAAUGUUAGAAACACUCUGUUUCUAAUAUGCACUCUUUUAUUAGAUUAAACUCAUGUGGGUCUCACCACUUUAUGUAAAAUUUAUUUUUAGGCUUAAAUAUGUCUUUCGUCCCUGCAAAUAUAGGUCAUUUGAAUUUUCGUCCCUGAAGUUACUAAUCCUUCCAAUCUGCCCUUGCAAAUAUUAAUCAUUUGACUUUUGGUCCUAAUUAGGUUUUUUUGCUGAGGUGGGCUGUCAUUAGCGACGUGGUGCCCAUGUGGCAAGUGAUGAUUGGACGUGGCGAUUUGCUUAAAUAGGUCUUUCAUCCCUGAAAAUAUAGGUCAAUUAAAUUUUCGUCCCUGGAGUUACUAAUCAGAUGUAAUUAGGACCAAAAGUCAAAUAAGAGAGUAAAUAUUAGAAAGAAAAAAAAAAAGGGCGCAUAACACUCCUCAUUAUAAAGAAUGUUUGAAAUUAAGAAUUUCUACAUAGGAAGAAAGAAAAACUCAAGUGUUUAUAAGCAGUGGAGAGUUUGAGCCUCUUGGUUUGAUCUUUUUGAUCAUGAAUCUCCACGGUAAAAACACAAAUUAAACCACUACUGUCAGUCACACUCCAGUUGGCUAUGUGCAAUAAUCCAACCAAAAAAUUUGAUAGAAAAUUAGACCACAAAAUACAUGAAAUUUUUCCAAUUAUUUCUAGAUUAAAUAAGAUUUUCAUCCCUAUAAAUAUAUCAAAUUUUGAUUUUAAUCCCUAAAAAAUAAAAUGAGAUGUUUUCAUCCUCACAAAAAAUUUUGUUUUAUUUUUAAUAGAGUGCCAAAAUAUGAGACCAAUGUCAUUUUUUCAAAGUCUCUGAUAUCUAUAUUAGUAACUUGAUUUAAAAGAAUUGGUCUCUUAAGAUUACAUGAAUUGAUUUAAAUUGAUCAUUAGCUUGAGGAUGUAAUAAUAAGUACCUGCAAAAAUAGACCAUUUGAUGCUUUGAUUCGAAUUUUGAGGGGAUCAUCAUUAUUCCUUAUAAUCUGAAAUGUUUCUAGGUUGCUAGGUGAACCUGAAAAAGAUACAAUUGUGCUGCCUCCAAUAGUAUUUAACCCCACAAAUUUUUUGUUGAACACCCUAAAAUUGAAGGAUGAAUCACUGACCCUCCAAAGCUGCAAAUGAGCCAAUAAUUAGAACUUAACUUACCAAGUUUAAUCAAGACAAGAUUUAUAAAUUUACUAGAUAUAUACAUUACAUACCCUAAAUGUUUCCCAACCAGAAGGUGAACUACGGUCGGCUACAAUGGUAGUUCCUCCCCCAUUUUCAGCGCAAAGAUAUGUCUGGAACUUUCUUGACAUGAAUUGUACUUGAGUUCCAUCCUAAAAUCAUCAAAUAUCAAAAUCUUAACAACGGAGCAUUAAAUAUCUACUUUCUUUUAAAAGUUUAUAAGGUUUUUAGAAAAAAAAUAAUUAUAAGUUAAUUCAAGUAGUUUAUAACUUACCAUUAUUAUCUCAAUUUAAUCCUUACAAUCUAAAUUAAAACAAUAUAUUAAUUAAAUAUAUGAUUUUUAUAUCAUUUCAUAUUUAUAAAUUAGUUCAACCACCAAUUUCAUCAAACAUUACAAAUUUAAUCAGCUAAUUUAUUUGUUAUCAACUUUAAACUAACUUAUCACUUAUCCGUUAUAAGUUCAUCCGCUUGGUCUAUUUCCAUAUUUAGCUUAAAAUUAAACUAGACAAUGAUGAAUAAACGAGGAAGGUGUAUAUUUUGAGAGAAAUAAAAAAAAAAUUAGAAAUGAUAUAAAAAAUAAAAGAUAAAAUUAGAAAGAAAUAAAAAAAAAAAACACAUCCAAAAUUCUAUCUCAUUUUUAAUACUCUCUCCGGUAUAUUUAUAAGCAAAAAAAUAAUUAAUUAGAUUCAUUGAAUAACUAGUGUAUCUAAUCUAUAUAAUGGUCAGAUACAUUAUUUAUAAGUUGUUUUUUGUUUAUAAAUGUGACUAAAGAGAUUAAUAUAAAGGCUAAACUGCACUUUUCGCACCCUAAGUUUCAAAAUGUUUCGAUUUUAGCCCCCUAUUAAAAAAAUGGCAAAACCCUGAUGUUUAGGAAAAUAUACUCUUUUGACCCCCUAACAUAAGGAAAUGUGAUCUUUUGACCCCUUAUCUUCUCAAAAAGUUGCGAUAAGGGCCAUUGUUUUGGGACAUGUGGCGUCUUCUCAGCAAUUUUGUGACAAAAGGGACUAAAAUUGCUAUUUUUUAUAAUAGGGGACCAAAAUCGCAACAUUUUAAAACUUAGGGAGCGAAAAGUGCAGUUUAGCCUAAUAUAAAUACUCAAAACUUAUUAUUAUAUUAAUUACUUUGUCCGCCCCUCUUUAAAAAAAAAAAACUACUUUGUCCGCCCUAACGGAUGAAAUACUUAUUAGAGUAGUUAGAUGAAUUAUGAUACUUAUAUUAAUAGAAAAAUGUGAUCAAUGUUUUGUUCACAAUAUUCUUUUGUUUUUGUUUUUAGUCAAGUAGCCUAUUAGUUAAAGUUCGCACAAUUUAACUGUCGAGAAGUGGAGUGUCCGGGGGUUCGAACCCCGGCCCCUACAUAUAAAAUGCAAUAUCCCUACCAAUUGAGUUAAGCUCACGGGGAUCUUGAUCACAAUAUUCUAAAAUAACUAAUAAUAUUAUUCUAUUUUUUUGUGUUAAGAGUUCGUACCCCAGACCUUGCAUAUAUUAUGCAUCGUCCCUUUUUUUUUUUUUGUGGUGGCCGAAGUUCGAACCCCGAACCUUGCAUAUAUUAUGUAUUGUCCAUACCAACUGAAUUAAGUUCACGAGUACCAUCGUCCUUACCAACUGGGCUAAGCUUACGAUGACUAAUAAUAUUCUUCUAAAAAAAAACUAAUAAUAUGUUUGAGAAAAUCAAAUAUUCCAAAUGAGAGACGUAAUAUAAUAUAAGAAGAAUAUUGAAACAUAUAAAAUGAUUUUUUUUUAAAAUAUACCAAGAGAUCUUUGUUGACAAUUCCGUCAAAGCGAGAUGGUUCCAUCCAUCCUUCAGCAACAAGCCAGUUUCCUAAAUUCACAGCUUUGUAAGCAAACGAAAGAGAGUGAAGACAUGAAAUACAUAAAGCCAAUAAGAAGCUCAAAUAAUACUUUCGAUAUUCCAUUUUUUGAAUGAUCCUGAGUUGGCUAUCACCAAGGGCACUAUUUAUAGCCUCUGAUGAAGCUUUAAAAUAUUGAUCAAUAAUAUUUUUAAAUUAAUGUUGCUCCACAUUGUCUUAUUCUUAUUUCCUAGUGUCAAGAUGGAUGCCUACUAACAAUGCAUGAUUUUAAUAUUUUAACCAAAAUCAGGGGCGGAGCUAGGUUUUAUACAUCGGGGGACCAAGUCUUAGAAAGUAUAAUUUUAGUGUGUCCUAUGAACCCUUUGUUGUAUCCUCUUCAACAAUCUUCUCAAAGAUAUUCGAAUACGCACAUUGAGGAAUCAAGAAUAGACUUUUCUCAUCUUUGUUUUUGUGUUCAUGAUGUGUUGCCAUAUAUGUAUUACUGCCAUUGUUCUCCAAUGCAGGGUAUGCCAUCAUUCACGAUUUCAGGAACAUCUUGAAAUCUAAAUAUGACUUUAAUUUGCGACGUACCAUAUUAUUUACCAGUGUUAAACAAUAGGACUAGUUUUGAUUAUUACAAAUAGGAUUAAAUUAGAAAUCUUAGGAUAUGUUGUGCAAUCUUUUUUCAAAAAAUGUAUGAAUGUUCAUCAUAUUUAUAGGUUGCUUUAUAAACAAGAUGAAGAAAACUGUUUUUGUAUGAAGAUAAUUGUCUUUCGACAGAGAUAAGUAAAGAAAAUGCAAGUAAAAUACUUAAAAGUUUAAACGCAGAAACUUGAACAAAAGGUAAAUUGCAUUGCAUUAAUGUAAAGGUGAUUAGACAAAUCAGAUUUAAAUACAUUAUGUGACUCGUUUCUCUGGACGCUGGUACUUUGAGUGCUAUAAUUCAAUAAGGGAUUUGCGACAUUUUUUUGUUAUGAAAAACUACUAUAUAUACAUAUAGAAAAAAUAACUGCAAAGACCUAAAUUGCUAUAAACUGCAUGUCUUCGUCGAGAACUACAUGUUUUCCACGUGUCUGAGAACUACUAUAUAUGUAUAGAUAAUGGAAUGAUAAAAUUACAAUGAUCGAUGUGUCUUAUAUAAUAUGAGCUAACUAACAACUAACAAACUGAAAAUUCUCAACAAACCUUAGAGACUUAACUAACUUGUCCUACAAGUUACCAAUCUAGAACCACUACUAAAAAAAGCAAAAUUAGCGAGGGAAAUUAGUGACGGAAAAAUGAAAUUCCUCACAAAUUCCUUGGUCGCAAAAUUUAGUGACGGAAUUAGAGAGAGAUUUUACGUUUUCCCUCACUAAUUUUUAUUUUUUUAGUAGUGGACCACACUAAUUUUCUUAUUUCACAAGCAAUUAGCAUCUACAUGGCAAUACAAUUUUUUAAAACAUAAAUAGAUGAGAGUUGAAUUGACUUAUGCGUCACAAUUGAACUGUUUGAUAUUAGUGACAUAUUCCCUCUUUGAUUAUACAUAAAAUAGAGUCCGUAUAUAGGGCCGUUUUUAUGGAUGUGGAAAGAGAUCAAUAUCAUAGCCUUAAAAUUUUGAGGGUGAAUUUUAAGUUUUAAAAUUUUGAGGGUGAAUUUUAAGUUUUCGUUGAUUCAAUUAGUAAAAAUAUAAUAUUUUAAAAUAAUUUCUAUAGUCCAACAACAGUUUCUUUUUAUUAAAACACAAUUCUUAAGAUUAGAACAAGACUUCAAGUCUUCUAAGAUGUAACCUCAAACAAAAAAAGUCUUCUAAGAUGUUUAAGACGGUCAUGUGUGUGCAUAUAUGUUAACCUUAAGUAUUUCAUUAAACUAUAAAGAGACUGAACUGAAUCCAUAUUCAUUAAAUUAAAAGUUGUGUGGAAAAAAAAUGAGAAAAAAUGGGGUCUCACCUCCGUGCUGAAAUUAAACUAUGUUGAACUUUUUUUGUUGAUAAUGGGUUAGAGUAUUGUAUCGAAAUUAACAUGUGUAAAUUUGUACAUGAUAGAAAAAUCAAUUUAAUAAACCGCACAAUCGAAAUUAAGCACCAACUUCAUUAGGAGGAGAACAAGCACAUUCAUUAAUUAAUCAGUUCUAUAUUUGAAGAUGGCCAAUAGAACAAAUAUAUAAUGUUGAAAAGUAUAUUGAUUGCAUUUCCACUAGAUAAUACUCUCUCAAGCACCACUCUAAAAAUAAGUCUCCACUGAUGACCACUCACAAGAUGGCGGCUUACCAUUGGCAAAUGACCUAAUUUUCUGAUGGUGGGCAGUCGAUGUAUCCAUUGAAAUAAUAGUUAAAUAUUUAGCAGCCCUAAUUCUCUCUCUCUCUCUAUAACCACUUCCUCAUUCUCCGUUCUUCUCUCGUUCUCUAAAUUCAUUCAUUGUUAUGGUUACUUGUUUUGCAAGAAAACAAUAGCUGCGCUAAUAGGGCCAACACCAACACUAACACAUCAUAAAACCAUCUAGUAAAAACCAAGAACUACACUAUUACCCCCCAAUUUUAGUCCUCAAUCAGCAUGACAGCAUCACCACUACACCCAUGCUAGCAACAGUCACUGCAGAAGUAGUCAAGAUAACAGAUUAAACAUAUACUUUUCUAAUACCAUUGUAUGAUAUCAGUGGGACACAAGCUCACAAAGUUAUAACUAAGAGAACAAUGGAGAAUUUCUUUGAACACACACUAAUUUUAUUGUCGAAGUCUUGAUGAUACAAUAUGGUACAAGCAUGUGCCUUUUAUAGGCUCUUAAACUUAAUGUCGGUUACUAGAUUUUUCUAGCUAUGGAUGGUGCUAGAUUAUUCCUAUAGAGGUGGUGUACAAUCAGCACUAGAUUAUUCUUUUGGUUACAAGAUUAUUCUAGGUGGUGCUACAUAAUAUAGAUAUUUUUAACUCUUAAUGACAAAGAGUAACUCCAAGCUUCUAUACUCUUCUAGAUAUUUCUUGAUUUAAUUUCUAACAUUGUACUCGCCUUCGUUUUAUGGUCGAACCUUCUUUUGCCUAAGCAUUCACAAUAAAAUUCGCUUCUCGAUUAAUAUGCACAAACGAAACCUUCUCAAUAACCUGCUGAUUCUAUUAUCAUUCUCAAAUGUCAAUUCCCACGGGCAAGCAUCCAAAUUAUUCACCCAAGAUAGAGCAUUCUUUGAGUCAAACUCAAUUGUGAUCUCACCAUGUUUAAGCCACAACCACUAACAUAUAUAGCUCCAAUGCAAACAACACAUCUAAGAAUUCAGCUUGAAUUUAUCGUGUUUGAUUAGUAUUUUUAAGAUGACAUGAGUAAACAAUUUUUAUGUAAUAUUUUGACCAUCAAACAUUGCAGGUUUAUGUGCUAGUAAUACUAUUUUUUUUUUAGGGAAUGUGCUAGUAAUAUUUUGAGAUUAGAGAAAUCAAGAAUUUUAUUCAACUAAUAUUUUAUUACAUUAUUCUAUUAUUUAGAGUUUGUUGGGAUGGUGGAACUCAAUAGAUUCUUCUUUUGAUUCCAAAAGACCAAAACAAUAGGGAAAAAACUGCUUAGUGAUAUUUUUAGGUAACAAUAAAACAUGAUGAUAAAUUGAUAAUAUACAGCAAAAUAAAAGCAAUAUUUUUGUAGCUUAGUGAAAUAAUUAACCUCCAAUGUAUUCUUGCCCAGAAAUCUAUGUGCAAUUGAGUUCUUCCAAUAUAGUUGUUGCUUAAAGAAUUUGAAUAUGCAUUCAUAUGUUGAACUAUAGUAUUUUAUUCAUUAGAGUAACCACAGUACAUGCAAGGGUGUUUCUCUUUCCCCACCCUUACUACUAAAAAUUUCUCAUAUUUUUCGGAGCAUGAAUUCAAAUAACAAAUUAUUUAUAAAAUAUACAAUCAUAUAGCAAAAGUUUGAUAGUUUUUUUAGAAGCAUACAUUUGAAGCAAUGUUGGGUUGGCAAAAGAACCCCCCCCUACAUCUAGGACGGUUGCUCUCCUCCCCCAUGUUACUUGAAAUCCCUCACAUCCUGUCGGAAGCUAUCUCUCGGUACACUUUUUUUACUCAGCUUUAUGUAACCAUUCUCGAUCAUCCACUUAAGGCUCCAACGAUUAAACUGACAUUUGUAGGACCAAUAAGCCCAUCCAAAUGUUGCCCGAGAAUACACAUCCAAUUGGGCUUGGGCGAAGUUUUGGAAAUCUUGCUUAGACGCAUUUUGUAUGGUCCACUCACCCGUCCAUUCCCCUACAAAAAGAAAAAACAUAUCAAAAACAUAUAGUUAUCCCCAAUAUAUACUAUGCAUGAGUUAGUUAGCAUUUGCCAUAUUUCAUAUAUGUAUUAAAUCACAUUUCAUCCCUAUCUCCACACACAUAUAUAUACCAAUAAAAUUGGUAGGAUUUGGUUUUUACCUAUAAAAGUAAGAGCAUUUGUUGAAGAUACACCAGCAAGAUCUGAUGCUCUUUCAUUUCUUAUGAAGUCGAUAUUUUGUUGAACAUUCAUGCCAUUGAAUUUUUCCCAAAACAUAUUGUAGUAAUGCACAUCAAGGACUACUUUGUUGAAGCCACUAACAAAUGAGAGAAGAGCUUUAGAAUCUCCAUCCAAUGGAUUUGACAUGAUCACAUAAGCCUCUGGGUUGUAUUUUCUCACAGCAUCAUAAGCUGCCUUGUAAUACUUCUUGAGACUAUCAAGAUUGACACCUUGUGGCUCAUUCAUCAGCUCUAUUCCUCCUAAACUUGGUUUAUUACCAUACCUGUCCACAAAUUCAAUUCAAGUAUAAAUAAUUCAAUUACUUGGGUCAUAAUAUCAUAUCAUAUAUUCCAAGAAAUUUAAGUGUGAGUCCAAAAUUGAUUAGAAAUGUAUUAAUAGAUUAAAUGGAUAAUAUGUGAAAGAGGUGACUCAUAUAUGUAAUGUCUUCAGUCUUAUUCGCUACGCUUCAUACCUACAUACUUGUAGGUUCAAUUACUUGAAUAUUCUACUACAUCUAUUUGUAUCCAAUAUGUGACUAACCACCACUCAUACUUAAAUUCGAAUAUAAAGAAGAAAUUAGAUGAUUAUCUAGAUACAAAACCUUUGUGCUAAGAAAUCAAUCACAGCUACUGUCUGAGGUAUGUAAGAAUCACCCCAUUCUGUAUAUCCAUCUCUUGUUCCACUAUGUUCAUUGCCAUUUUGAGAACCUUCAACAGCAUGCAAAUCUACAAUCACUUUCAUCUCAUGAUUUCUGCAAUUUAGAAAGAUAUAUUCUUGAUUUGCAAUCUUAAAACAUCAAUUAAAAUACAUUGAAUGUUGCGCAUAAAGUAUACAAUACUUGUUAUAUGUUACAAUUUAAUUAAAGGUUUAAAUAAACUUUUGGUCUCAUUAUUUUGAUUGAUUUUUUAUUUUAGAUGUGACAUUUUUAAAUUUGAAAUCAUAGUCCUCCAAUUUUUAAAGUAUCAAAACAUUCCCCACCAUUGAAUAUGGAGUUUUUUUAAUGAUGCAUUACGUUAAAAAAAUGAGGUGGCAAGUCACAAGUGAUAAUAUGAUAAUGUUUAUUUUUUUGGGAAAUCUGAUUUAGUAGAGUUUGCAUUUUCUUUUGUUAUUUUUAAGUAAUUCUUUAAUAAUAUAAAAAAUAAAAUAAUAUGAUUUAUUCUACAUGUGCAUUACCACAUCACUCCAUGACUUUCCAACUCAUUAGUCAACUUUUUAUUUUGAAAGAAACUCAUUGGUCAACUUGACACAUCAAUAAAACUAAGCUGCAAAAUUCAAUGAUGGUGAAAACUUCUGAAAUUUUAAAAAAUAUGGGACUAUAAUUUUAGAUUUUGAAAGAACUUCAAAAUCUUGAAUCAAUAAAAAUGUAAGACCAAAAGUACAUCUAAAUCUUAAGGCCAUUAUUUUUUUUUUUACCAUAUGAGUUUCUCGUGCGUCCUAUUUGGAUUCUAAAAUCUAAAAUGUUUCAACGUGAUUUAGGAGGUUUGUAUAGGGUGUUUAUUUCGUUCGGAUUCUAUAAUCCAAACAGUAUAGAGCGUGCGGGAAACUCAUAGGGUGGAAAAAGAAACACUGAAAUCUUAAUUAAAAUAUCUCUCAAGACUUACUGUGCCCAUGUAAAAGCAUUGUCAAGUGCAGCCAAGGAUCCUCCAACAAAAGGCUUAGGUGGAUUUGGAUCAUAGGCUAUCCACCAUCCAACAGGUAUUCUGACUGCAUCUAAUCCAUUUUGUGACAUAAAUCUGAAAUCAUCUUCAGUUAUGUAUGAAUUCCAAUGCUCCUGCAAAGCAAAC